AUGACCAUCGAGCCAACGACCUUGCAGACCAAGCCAAAUGAAGGACCAUCUCUAUUCUCAACAGAUAUAGCGUGGUGCGGUGUAAGCUCUACCAACCAUGCGAGCACGACUCCACCGACCAACCAAACCUUGGUGCCGCUGAAUAAACUCAUUCCAUCGCGUGGAUACCACUACCACCUCAACACCGCACUAAGAUAUGCAAGUGAAGGCAUACAUAAGAUGAGACUACAAUCAGGCAAAAAACCGAGUUCCCCCUCCCCGUGCAUCGACGAUGAUCAGCCGUGUAAGGAAUACAACGGAGCUUCUCGCACGAUCAUUUUGAAUGGGCGUAUUGGUGGAUCUCCCCUAAAGACCGCGACUUGCCGCCGAAACUGUGGAGUUUUGAGUUCUUUCCUGAUCGGAUUGAGGAAGAUGGGUUGGCUCUGCUGUUCGGGAAGGCUUGCGCUGGGAUCCUUGUCGUCUUCGGAUCAAGAAACCUCUGCUUGCCAUGAGGAGGAGGGGGAGGAGAAGAAGAAGCAGCAGCAGCAGCAGCAGCCGCCGAAGUUGCAAUCCGUUGGGAUGGGAAAUAAGCGGAGCAGGAAGACGGCGCCGGAGAUCGCCGGCGAAGGCGGGAAGGGUGUUAGGCCGCCGCCGCUGGCCGCCAAGGAGACAACAUUGUCUGACAAGGGGAAAUCAAAGGCAAGUGGCCCGACAUAUUAUUACUUCCUUGAUGCUUGCAAAACCUUCAGAGCAGAAUCAGGGAAGUCACCAGGGACUUCAAGUACCCCGAAAACCGCAGUUUCUCGCAUCAGGUCCUGUAUUGCUGCCAAAGAAACUAGGACAAUAGAGAUCAUGGCCUUUGAGGUUGCCAACACAAUUGGGAAGGGCUACAAUCUGAUGAAAUUCCUCUCUGAACAAAGCAUGAGGAACCUGAAGUCCGCGGUGCUUCAGUCCCAAGGCGUCCGAUGCUUGGUUUCAGAUGAUUGCAACAAGUUGCUUGCUCUUGUCGGAGCCGAAAAAAGGGAGGAGUUUAAGGAGUUUGCUACAGAUGUUGCUCGGUAUGGAAACCUAUGCAGAGAUCCGAAAUGGCACAACUUGGAUCAGCAUUUCUCGAGGUUGGAGUCUGAACCCACACAUCAGAAAUACUCUAAAGAAGCAGCAGCUUCCAGUAUGCAGUAUCUCAUGGCGCUUGCGGAGCAGACAGUGCAACUGUACCAUGGAAUGCGUCGGUUCGACAUCUCCGAGGAGAUAUACAAGAAAAAUUAUCAAGAGCACAUGGAAGGACAGGAGGACCAAUUCUGUUCAAUUCAAUCUCUUUCGAACGCUGUGGAAAUCGAAAGAAAAUUCGUCAAGGACUUGAAGAAGCAAACACUUUGGAUGAAGAAGAUGGAACAUGUUGUGGAAAAACUUGUUUGCGUUGUACAUUUCUUGCGGCUAGAGAUAAAAAAUGUCUUCAAGAAAUACGAAGAUGAAUCAGUGGAAGUGAAAGGGACGAUUCAGCUAACUUUAGGGUCUGCCGAUCUCGCGCUGCAUUAUGCGAACAUCAUUUUCAAAAUAAAGAGUUUGAGGACAGUUGAACAGCUCACAUAUGACAUGAACAAGACAAUGAAAUGGCUCUUGCCAAUGGCAGAAUCCACAAUAAGGGUGGGGCGUCGAAUGCUUGGUGAAUGGCAGGACCAAGGGGAGCCCAACGGAACAAAUGGCAGGAAGGCGCUCAAGAUUCAGACGCUAUACCAUGCCGACAAGGAGAAGACCGAACACUACAUUCUGGAGAUGGUGCUGGCUCUCCACUAUCUCGUAUGUGCGAUCAAUGCGAGGCUCGACAAGUUCUUGAACAGUACUUCUGAUCGGUCGGAGAUGCAGGAGGCGAGCAAUUCAGUUAGCACUAGCCAUAGUGGACCGGCAAGCCCCUUUCACCAUGGAAGGGAUAGCCCCCGGAUCCCCAUAUCAAUGAUAACUGUACAGGACAGUAUACAGCGUUAG
Molecule: ribosomal RNA, 1962 nt
Filed under: Triticum aestivum (bread wheat)
Lineage: Eukaryota; Viridiplantae; Streptophyta; Magnoliopsida; Poales; Poaceae
Description: partial small subunit ribosomal RNA
Source: RNAcentral